Cygnus atratus (black swan) is the source of this 560-nucleotide long non-coding RNA. RefSeq lists it as uncharacterized. The transcript is spliced from 3 exons. The record is from RefSeq and is a predicted model, not a curated record. NCBI's taxonomy places the organism in Eukaryota, Metazoa, Chordata, Aves, Anseriformes, Anatidae.
UUGAAGGGGACCAGAGUAGGCGUGGGUGUUCAGAUCUGUGUGGAUCAGCCCCAGCCUGACAGUAGCAGUGGUUUUACUUGUAGCAACAGAUAAAUCUAUCACUAACUUCCCAAGAUGAUGAAAAGCAAAACACUUUUCUAGUGAACUAGAGAAUACUGGGAAGUUUCCAUAAGGCAGAACUAAAUAUGAUCAAAUUAAAAGAUAGAUGAAACAAGAGGAUCUACUUUCUAGGAACAAGGAAAAGAUUUCAGAUCUUUAUUUAAACUGGUUUACUGAACAGAGAUUUUUUAGAAUCAGAAGAACAUUGAGGCAGGAAGGGACCUCAGAAGAGUGUCCAGCCCCAUCCUCCUGUUCAAAUUAGUAUGCUCAGGACUGUGUCCAGGGCUGUAAUCAUUGAUGCCAAAGGAAUGGAUCAGAGCUGAACGAUACCACUAGAAGUUUCCCACUUCUGCAGUCAGGGGUGUUAUAUAGGCCAGGCUAACAUCAAGACUACACAUUUGUUGUGCACAUUAAUAGGAAAUGUCAAAUAAUAACAAUGAAAUAAAAUUCAAAACUUAACU